GACGAACGCUGGCGGCGUGCUUAACACAUGCAAGUCGAACGGAAAGGCCCUGCUUUUGUGGGGUGCUCGAGUGGCGAACGGGUGAGUAACACGUGAGUAACCUGCCCUUGACUUUGGGAUAACUUCAGGAAACUGGGGCUAAUACCGGAUAGGAGCUCCUGCUGCAUGGUGGGGGUUGGAAAGUUUCGGCGGUUGGGGAUGGACUCGCGGCUUAUCAGCUUGUUGGUGGGGUAGUGGCUUACCAAGGCUUUGACGGGUAGCCGGCCUGAGAGGGUGACCGGCCACAUUGGGACUGAGAUACGGCCCAGACUCGUACGGGAGGCAGCAGUGAGGAAUAUUGCACAAUGGGCGGAAGCCUGAUGCAGCAACGCCGCGUGCGGGAUGACGGCCUUCGGGUUGUAAACCGCUUUCGCCUGUGACGAAGCGUGAGUGACGGUAAUGGGUAAAGAAGCACCGGCUAACUACGUG
This 468-nucleotide ribosomal RNA is filed under the name uncultured bacterium. RNAcentral describes it as "partial 16S ribosomal RNA". It matches the Rfam family "Bacterial small subunit ribosomal RNA", at positions 28 to 507 of the family's 1533-position model. The record is from RNAcentral.